AGAGUUUGAUCAUGGCUCAGAUUGAACGCUGGCGGCAGGCUUAACACAUGCAAGUCGAACGGUAACAGAACUAGCUUGCUAGUUGCUGACGAGUGGCGGACGGGUGAGUAACGCGUAGGAAUCUACCGAAUAGUGGGGGACAACAGUUGGAAACGGCUGCUAAUACCGCAUACGCCCUACGGGGGAAAGGAGGGGAUCUUCGGACCUUUCGCUAUUUGAUGAGCCUGCGUGAGAUUAGUUAGUUGGUGGGGUAAUGGCUCACCAAGGCGACGAUCUCUAGCUGGUCUGAGAGGAUGAUCAGCCACACUGGGACUGAGACACGGCCCAGACUCCUACGGGAGGCAGCAGUGGGGAAUAUUGCACAAUGGGGGAAACCCUGAUGCAGCCACGCCGCGUGUGUGAAGAAGGCCUUCGGGUUGUAAAGCACUUUCAGUUGUGAGGAAAGGUUAAGGGUUAAUA
Molecule: ribosomal RNA, 459 nt
Filed under: uncultured bacterium
Lineage: Bacteria
Description: bacterial SSU rRNA
Rfam family: Bacterial small subunit ribosomal RNA
Source: RNAcentral